Molecule: non-coding RNA, 102 nt
Filed under: Otolemur garnettii (small-eared galago)
Lineage: Eukaryota; Metazoa; Chordata; Mammalia; Primates; Galagidae
Source: RNAcentral
AACUAGUCAGAGUGCACUCGUGUUUACAACUAACUCAUCACAACCAGUUACAGAUUCUUUUGUUCUUUCUCCAUUCCCACAGCUUCGUCUGACUAGCAUUAA